CCUAUGGGCGGCUGCAGUGAGGAAUAUUGGUCAAUGGGCGCGAGCCUGACCCAGCCAAGUAGCGUGAAGGAUGACUGCCCUACGGGUUGUAAACUUCUUUUAUAAAGGAAUAAAGUGAGGCACGUGUGCCUUUUUGUAUGUACUUUAUGAUUAAGGAUCGGCUAACUCCGUGCCAGCAGCCGCGGUAAGACGUAGGAUCCGAGCGUUAUCCGGAUUUAUUGGGUUUAAAGGGAGCGUAGAUGGGUUGUUAAGUCAGUUGUGAAAGUUUGCGGCUCAACCGUAAAAUUGCAAUUGAUACUGGCAGUCUUGAGUACAGUUGAGGUAGGCGGAAUUCGUGGUGUAGCGGUGAAAUGCUUAGAUAUCACGAAGAACUCCGAUUGCGAAGGCAGCUUACUAAACUGCCACUGACAUUGAUGCUCGAAAGUGUGGGUAUCAAACAGGAUUAGAUACCCUAGUAGUC
This 460-nucleotide ribosomal RNA is filed under the name uncultured bacterium. Its description in RNAcentral is "partial 16S ribosomal RNA". It matches the Rfam family "Bacterial small subunit ribosomal RNA", at positions 338 to 795 of the family's 1533-position model. The record is from RNAcentral.